Molecule: small RNA, 167 nt
Filed under: Octodon degus (degu)
Lineage: Eukaryota; Metazoa; Chordata; Mammalia; Rodentia; Octodontidae
Description: Pvt1 onco conserved region 1 (ENSODEG00000025668.1)
Source: RNAcentral
AGAUUCAGCUGUGAGCUAUGUACAGAGUGGCCAGGAUGAAGAGAAACAGCAAGGAGCCUGGUACAGGGAUGGGCCCCAGAACACCCAGAACCUAACAAAUGGAUUUCCUUGCAGAAAGGAUUGCUGAACUUGGUGACAGGUAUAGACAGGAUUAGAUCCACACUCCA